UUCCAGUUCCAGACUAUAAAAGCUGAUUUCUAGUCUGGAGUUAUACACUCUGUAUUCAAGGAAGCAGUUUAGAGGUGUAGCCUACAUACAGAAAACAUCUGUGCAUAUUCUUCUACCUUCCAAGUUGGAAAACAUGGAGGAACCUGUAGUUAAAGAAAACAAAAUGGAGAGAAGUCACCCUAAUGGGAAGCUAUUCUGAACCAGGACAUGAAAAUGGAGGAGUUCAAUAAUAAUUGAGGCCAGUUCAAUCCUCCACUACCAGGAUAUCACCAAGACAAAAAUUCUUGGAAUACCACACUCAUCUCCAUACAUCAUCAUAUCAUGGUAGAAAGGUAUUUCAAUAAGACUAAUUGAUAUUAAGUUUAGUUUAGUUUUUAUGUAUAUUAAAAAAACAUACAAAAAUGUAUAGGCCCAUUACAGAGAGAGGUAUAAAUGGAAACUGUUUGCGUUUUAGAUGGGAUAAGUUUGAAAUUAUUGAUCCUAUAUUGAUAUUUCAAAGCUUGAAACCAAUUGUACUUGAUAUAUGUUUAAGAGAAGCUGAAAAAUUUAAUUAUAAUAUAAAAUGGUAUGUUGCUAUCAAAUUAAAGCUAAAGAAAUUAGUUGCAGAUCAUGAAAUGGAUACUACACCAACAUUUCAUGGGAUAGCACGAACAAUUCUACAAAUUCAAGAUAA
Molecule: long non-coding RNA, 673 nt
Filed under: Nilaparvata lugens (brown planthopper)
Lineage: Eukaryota; Metazoa; Arthropoda; Insecta; Hemiptera; Delphacidae
Description: uncharacterized LOC120349226
Source: RNAcentral